GGAGUCCAGAGACACCAGGGUGGCUCAGGGGUUGGGUGCCUGCCUUUGGCCCAGAGCAUGAUCCUGGAGUCCCGGGAUGUAGUCCUGCAACAGGCUCCCUGCAUGGAGCCUGCUUCUCCCCUCUGCCUGUGUCUCUGCCUCUCUCUCUGUCUUUCUCAUAAAUAAAAUAUUUUUUAAAAGAGAGAGAGAGAGAGAGAGAAAGAGGAGUCCACAGGCUGAGCUCAGCCUCCUCUCUAGGCCCUACAGGAUUAUGUUAAUUUAUGUAAAAAGACACUAUUGUGGAGGAUAACUUAUAAAGGUGGGAACUUUAGCUAAAAAAACAUUUCUAAAAUGCCAAAAACAAGGUUGAAUACAAGGCUUGUGCAGGGGGACAUGGGAGAGAGUCCAGGCCAGAGAGAUCGAAGGAGAGGGAUAUCGCAAGCCCUUUCCUCUGCUGAUGAGGAAAGAACUGACACCAGCAAGCCACAUAUAGCAUGACCAGUGACCAGGCCCAAGAAAGAACUUGGAUCUGAGCAAAGGGGACCAGGAAUUUAGCCCAAAUGAGGGGUCUCUCAGCAAGACAGAGGUGGCUCUGGACUAAACUACUGCCGCCAGAGUUCCCUCUGUCACUGCAAUGUUCUCCCAAGCAGUGAGAAGACUAUGCAAAGCCACCAGGGUUCAUGCAUGAGCACUGUGCCAGCCACACAGGAUGGUGCAAGUCCCAGUGUCCCCAGAUGCUGGUCUAACAGUUUUGUGAUUUGAAGCAAGGCCUUCUAACCCUCAGAGCUUCACUUUCUGUGUCAGCAGGCUCUUCUUGGCAGCCCUGAUGAAGUACCAGCAAAAGGGUGUAGGGCCGACACUAGGUCACUACUUCUCCAGAGCCAGAGCCUUGAACAUAUGAGUGUGGAGGUCCCUCCACACUCAGACCUGUGAGGUCCAAAGAGGCCCCUGCUCCUAAGAGUUUGGUGAGGAUCCAGGGCCACCUGAUACCGCUUCCCAUCACCCAAGAAACCAGGAUCCCUGGGGCUUGGGGAUGCGGGGCCCAUGUGCCUGCUCACGCCUGCCUUUCCUCCUCCAGUAGCUGGAUGACUGAGAGACUACCCAUUCCCACCCUCCUCGCACCCGUGUCUUGUCCCUAGACACCAUGGGCGCUUGCCUGCUGUCCCUGAGAGGGCACGGGGUCUCUCCAUCCCAUCCGUUGUCUUGAUUUCCCAGGGUGGAACUGCUGUGGGUCCUCCGCGAAGGAACACAGCACGGCCACGAGAGGGCGCUGCUCCUCCUUGAAAUGCCGCUCCAACCUUCUCUGAACAUCCUGCACCCUGCUGAAGAGUUCCAAAUAAACGUUUAGAAAUG
Molecule: long non-coding RNA, 1332 nt
Filed under: Canis lupus familiaris (dog)
Lineage: Eukaryota; Metazoa; Chordata; Mammalia; Carnivora; Canidae
Description: lncRNA (ENSCAFG00000055210.1)
Source: RNAcentral